UGCUAAGUCUUGGGUUUCAGAUCAUCCCCUU
Molecule: non-coding RNA, 31 nt
Filed under: Mus musculus (house mouse)
Lineage: Eukaryota; Metazoa; Chordata; Mammalia; Rodentia; Muridae
Source: RNAcentral